RNAcentral lists this ribosomal RNA (253 nucleotides) under uncultured bacterium. RNAcentral describes it as "partial 16S ribosomal RNA". It matches the Rfam family "Bacterial small subunit ribosomal RNA", at positions 524 to 776 of the family's 1533-position model. The record is from RNAcentral.
UACGUAGGGUGCAAGCGUUAAUCGGAAUUACUGGGCGUAAAGCGUGCGCAGGCGGUUGUGUAAGACAGAUGUGAAAUCCCCGGGCUCAACCUGGGAACUGCAUUUGUGACUGCACAGCUGGAGUGCGGCAGAGGGGGAUGGAAUUCCGCGUGUAGCAGUGAAAUGCGUAGAUAUCAGGAGGAAUACCGAUGGCGAAGGCAGGUCUCUGGGCUGUCACUGACGCUCAUGCACGAAAGCGUGGGGAGCAAACAGG